RNAcentral lists this long non-coding RNA (221 nucleotides) under Elaeis guineensis (African oil palm). Its description in RNAcentral is "long non-coding RNA (EGUI_LNC025854)". Lineage: Eukaryota; Viridiplantae; Streptophyta; Magnoliopsida; Arecales; Arecaceae. The record is from RNAcentral.
GAGACUGCCACAGUGACUUGCAAGCAACUCACUGCACUUAGGCACUGGACUACCUGAAUUUCUAAUUCAGUGAUGGAAGGCUGCUGGGUGUAGUCAAGUACUUGAUUUGUCGGUGCGUGUGUCAAGAUGAGAUUGACCACUCUAGUUCAGGAGCUGUGUACAGUCAUGUUUCAAUUUAGCAAAACCUUGGCCAGGGUAGUCCUAAUAAGGAGUCACAGGAC